RNAcentral lists this ribosomal RNA (199 nucleotides) under uncultured bacterium. RNAcentral describes it as "partial 16S ribosomal RNA". It matches the Rfam family "Bacterial small subunit ribosomal RNA", at positions 1302 to 1500 of the family's 1533-position model. The record is from RNAcentral.
AGUCUGCAACCCGACUACAUGAAGCCGGAAUCGCUAGUAAUCGCGGAUCAGAAUGCCGCGGUGAAUACGUUCCCGGGUCUUGUACACACCGCCCGUCACACCAUGGGAGUCGGAAAUGCCCGAAGUCUGUGACCCAACCGCAAGGAGGGAGCAGCCGAAGGCAGGUCGGAUGACUGGGGUGAAGUCGUAACAAGGUAUC